CCUACGGGAGGCAGCAGUGGGGAAUCUUGCGCAAUGGGCGAAAGCCUGACGCAGCCAUGCCGCGUGAAUGAUGAAGGUCUUAGGAUUGUAAAAUUCUUUCACCGAGGACGAUAAUGACGGUACUCGGAGAAGAAGCCCCGGCUAACUUCGUGCCAGCAGCCGCGGUAAUACGAAGGGGGCUAGCGUUGCUCGGAAUUACUGGGCGUAAAGGGAGCGUAGGCGGAUAGUUUAGUCAGAGGUGAAAGCCCAGGGCUCAACCUUGGAAUUGCCUUUGAUACUGGCUAUCUUGAGUACGGAAGAGGUAUGUGGAACUCCGAGUGUAGAGGUGAAAUUCGUAGAUAUUCGGAAGAACACCAGUGGCGAAGGCGACAUACUGGUCCGUUACUGACGCUGAGGCUCGAAAGCGUGGGGAGCAAACAGGAUUAGAUACCCUGGUAGUCCACGCUGUAAACGAUGAGUGCUAGUUGUCGGCAUGCAUGCAUGUCGGUGACGCGAGCUACGACAUUAAGACACUCCGCCGUCGGGUAGGUACGGUCGCGAGAAUUAAAACGUUAAAAGGUAAGUUAGUACGGACGUGAGACGUCGCCGACGGACGACGACGAGGGAGUUAGG
RNAcentral lists this ribosomal RNA (612 nucleotides) under uncultured bacterium. RNAcentral's name for it is "bacterial SSU rRNA". The stretch from base 1 to 519 matches the Rfam family "Bacterial small subunit ribosomal RNA", at positions 338 to 873 of the family's 1533-position model. The record is from RNAcentral.